Molecule: ribosomal RNA, 320 nt
Filed under: uncultured bacterium
Lineage: Bacteria
Description: bacterial SSU rRNA
Rfam family: Bacterial small subunit ribosomal RNA
Source: RNAcentral
CGCAAGGGGAGCGGCAGACGGGUGAGUAACGCGUGGGAAUCUACCCUUUUCUACGGAAUAACGCAUGGAAACGUGUGCUAAUACCGUAUGAGCCCUUCGGGGGAAAGAUUUAUCGGGAAAGGAUGAGCCCGCGUUGGAUUAGCUAGUUGGUGGGGUAAAGGCCUACCAAGGCGACGAUCCAUAGCUGGUCUGAGAGGAUGAUCAGCCACAUUGGGACUGAGACACGGCCCAAACUCCUACGGGAGGCAGCAGUGGGGAAUAUUGGACAAUGGGCGCAAGCCUGAUCCAGCCAUGCCGCGUGAGUGAUGAAGGCCCUAGGG